UACGUAGGGUGCAAGCGUUUAAUCGGAAUUACUGGGCGUAAAGCGUGCGCAGGCGGUUUUGUAAGUCUGUUGUGAAAUCCCCGGGCUUAACCUGGGAAUGGCAAUGGAGACUGCAAGGCUAGAGUUUGGCAGAGGGGGGUAGAAUUCCACGUGUAGCAGUGGAAAUGCGUAGAGAUGUGGAGGAACACCGGUGGCGAAGGCGGCGUCCUGGACCGAAUACUGACACUGAGGAGCGAAAGCCAGGGGAGCAACGGG
RNAcentral lists this ribosomal RNA (255 nucleotides) under uncultured bacterium. Its description in RNAcentral is "partial 16S ribosomal RNA". It matches the Rfam family "Bacterial small subunit ribosomal RNA", at positions 524 to 775 of the family's 1533-position model. The record is from RNAcentral.